This 538-nucleotide ribosomal RNA is filed under the name Otidea alutacea. Its description in RNAcentral is "LSU rRNA". It matches the Rfam family "Eukaryotic large subunit ribosomal RNA", at positions 84 to 630 of the family's 3401-position model. Lineage: Eukaryota; Fungi; Ascomycota; Pezizomycetes; Pezizales; Pyronemataceae. The record is from RNAcentral.
UAACUGCGAGUGAAGCGGCAAAAGCUCAAAUUUGAAAUCUGACGUCACCUGGCGUUCGAAUUGUAAUUUGGAGGGGCAUUUUCGGAGCUGGCGUUGUCCUAAGUUCCUUGGAACAGGACGUCACAGAGGGUGAGAAUCCCGUGCCUGGAUGGCUGUCCAGCUCCAUGUGAGGUGUCUCCGACGAGUCGAGUUGUUUGGGAAUGCAGCUCAAAAUGGGUGGUAAAUUUCAUCUAAAGCUAAAUACUGGCGAGAGACCGAUAGCGCACAAGUAGAGUGAUCGAAAGAUGAAAAGCACUUUGAAAAGAGAGUUAAAAAGUACGUGAAAUUGUUGAAAGGGAAGCGCUUGAGACCAGACUCAACCUUCGGUGAUCAGCUGUGCUUUUGUGCGGUGCACUUGCCGUGGGUUGGGCCAGCAUCGGUUUCGACGGUGGGAUAAAGGUUCGAGGAAUGUGGCUCUCCCGAUUUCGGGGAGUGUUAUAGCCCUGAGCGCAAUGCCACCUGUUGGGACCGAGGACCGCGCUUCCGCUAGGAUGCUGGC